RNAcentral lists this ribosomal RNA (696 nucleotides) under Arhysoceble huberi. RNAcentral describes it as "partial 28S ribosomal RNA". It matches the Rfam family "Eukaryotic large subunit ribosomal RNA", at positions 397 to 812 of the family's 3401-position model. The record is from RNAcentral. Lineage: Eukaryota; Metazoa; Arthropoda; Insecta; Hymenoptera; Apidae.
ACGUGAAACCGUUCAGGGGUAAACCUGAGAAACCCAAAAGAUCGAAUGGGGAGAUUCAUCGUCAACGGUGGCUGGUUCCCGUUGGUGCGCGAUGCUCCGAAUGGGCUCAUAUCUUAUGGACCCAUGGCGAGGGCACGCCACCUUCGGCUCGAAUCUUCCGGCGCCGUAGUCGUGCACUUCUCCCCUAGUAGAACGUCGCGACCCGUUGUGUGUCGGUCUACGGCCCGAGCGGGCGCCUGUCGCGUCGCGAUUCUCGCACGCGUCAGACCCUCGGACGCCUGGCCGGCUGCACGACGGUACUCCCACGGUAUCGGGCCGCAACCAAUCCAUUCUCGAAUGUGUGUGCGUCUAGCCCGCCGCAAGCUCGAUCAGUUCUUACCCGGUGGUACGGACCUGGUGCCGUCCCUGGGCCUGAUCAGCUGUUAGCAGGCGGUGUCCUCGGACUGGCCAAGCUUUGAAUUACCGGUCGGCGACGCUACUGCUUUGGGUACUCUCAGGACCCGUCUUGAAACACGGACCAAGGAGUCUAACAUGUGCGCGAGUCAUUGGGAUGCACAAACCUAAAGGCGAAAUGAAAGUGAAGGUCGUCCAUUGCGUCGACCGAGGGAGGAUGGGCCGCGUUACGAGGCGGCCCCGCACUCCCGGGGCGUCUCGUUCUCAUUGCGAGAAGAGGCGCACCCAGAGCGUACACGUUGG